CGUGCUGCGCUCAAGUUGCGCCUUGAUUCAGUGGGCUUACCUGACGUUGCUGUGCA
This is a microRNA precursor of Gadus morhua (Atlantic cod), 56 nucleotides long. NCBI's taxonomy places the organism in Eukaryota, Metazoa, Chordata, Actinopteri, Gadiformes, Gadidae. The record is from Ensembl.